Gossypium hirsutum (cotton) is the source of this 106-nucleotide non-coding RNA. Lineage: Eukaryota; Viridiplantae; Streptophyta; Magnoliopsida; Malvales; Malvaceae. The record is from Rfam.
NUACCAUGAUAAGGACACUUUCGUAAUAACUCCUUCAACCGCUCUCAUGCCUCAUAUAAAGAGUCUUCAUCAAAUUGCUAAAAUGAAAUGACUUAUUUUAGAGCUU